UACAGAGGGGGCAAGCGUUGUUCGGAAUUACUGGGCGUAAAGGGCGCGUAGGCGGCCUGUUAAGUCGAACGUGAAAUCCCCGGGCUCAACCCGGGAACUGCGUCCGAUACUGGCAGGCUUGAAUCCGGGAGAGGGAUGCGGAAUUCCAGGUGUAGCGGUGAGAUGCGUAGAUAUCUGGAGGAACACCGGUGGCGAAGGCGGCAUCCUGGACCGGCAUUGACGCUGAGGCGCGAAAGCUAGGGGAGCAAACGGG
This 253-nucleotide ribosomal RNA is filed under the name uncultured bacterium. Its description in RNAcentral is "partial 16S ribosomal RNA". It matches the Rfam family "Bacterial small subunit ribosomal RNA", at positions 524 to 776 of the family's 1533-position model. The record is from RNAcentral.